Long non-coding RNA from Glycine soja, 448 nucleotides. RefSeq lists it as uncharacterized. Lineage: Eukaryota; Viridiplantae; Streptophyta; Magnoliopsida; Fabales; Fabaceae. The record is from RefSeq and is a predicted model, not a curated record. The transcript is spliced from 3 exons.
UCACCCUAAGGGUUGGUAGCUGAGUUUUAGCAGAGAGAAAGAAAGGCUUGGUGCUUGGUUUGUGAGAGAGUUUUUCAAGAGCUACAAGUGGGUGGUCCAUUUUUCCAUUUUGAACAUGUAGAUCUUUGGAACCAAGGUUCGACUGAUGAGCAUUAGGAUGGAUCUUUGCUUGUGGGUUAGCAUCUUUGAGUGUAGGAGGAUCCCUUUGAGAGUUAUUCAUUGGGUUCUCAUUGGCGGGUUCACUUUCAUCUGGCAUGUACUUUCUUGAUGGUGCGGUUAUUCUACAGAGCUUGGAUAUAUGGAUUAUUCUGAGACUAGGUUUUUCACUUUGGUGUAUUAAUUUGAAUAGACCAAGGUUUAAGGAACUUUUAUGUGUAUUCAGUCAUCUUAUUUACUUACUAUUUACCUUUGAUACUUAUUAACUAAUGUUUGGUGGCCAUGGAGGCUU